AUGUUGGGACUCUGUAGGUUUCUACUGUAUGGGACUCUAUAGGUUUCUACACUGUAGGUUUCUACUGUAUGUAUGGGACUGUAGGUUUCUACUGUAUGUAUGGGACUCUGUAGGUUUCUACUGUAUGGGACUCUGUAGGUUUCUACUGUAUGUAUGGGACUCUGUAGGUUUCUACACUCUGUAGGUUUCUACUGUAUGGUUGGGACUCUGUAGGUUUCUACUGUAUGGGACUCUGUAGGUUUCUACACUGUAGGUUUCUACUGUAUGUAUGGGACUGUAGGUUUCUACUGUAUGUAUGGGACUCUGUAGGUUUCUACUGUAUGGGACUCUGUAGGUUUCUACUGUAUGUAUGGGACUCUGUAGGUUUCUACACUCUGUAGGUUUCUACUGUAUGGUUGGGACUCUGUAGGUUUCUACUGUAUGGGACUCUAUAGGUUUCUACACUGUAGGUUUCUACUGUAUGUAUGGGACUGUAGGUUUCUACUGUAUGUAUGGGACUCUGUAGGUUUCUACUGUAUGUAUGGGACUCCGUAGGUUUCUACACUCUGUAGGUUUCUACUGUAUGUAUGGGUCUCUUUAGGUUUCUACACUCUGUAGGUUUC
This is a long non-coding RNA of Oncorhynchus nerka (sockeye salmon), 602 nucleotides long. RefSeq lists it as uncharacterized. The transcript has 4 exons. The record is from RefSeq and is a predicted model, not a curated record. NCBI's taxonomy places the organism in Eukaryota, Metazoa, Chordata, Actinopteri, Salmoniformes, Salmonidae.